GGACAAACCUUUCCUAUAUAGAAACUGUCCUUCGGGACUAUGGACAUAAACGCGCUCGUCAUAAGCGGAUCGGACCCGGGGGCGGUACCCGGCGACUCCACCAAACAUCCUUCAUUUGGGGAUCAUGGGGUCGAAACAGGAUCGACGAACGUCUAAAGGGGUUAGCUUUGUCUCGGCUGUCUGCCACCGUUAUCGGCGAAAACUGUACAAUUGCAAAUGACAAUCGUGCUCCAGUAGCGAUGGCCGCGUAAGCGGUUUCA
RNAcentral lists this transfer-messenger RNA (260 nucleotides) under Ascidiaceihabitans donghaensis. RNAcentral describes it as "beta_tmRNA". It matches the Rfam family "Alphaproteobacteria transfer-messenger RNA", at positions 16 to 279 of the family's 355-position model. From Rfam's summary of the family: Bacterial tmRNA, also known as 10Sa RNA or SsrA, is named for its dual tRNA and mRNA-like properties. Its role is to liberate the mRNA from a stalled ribosome. To accomplish this part of the tmRNA is used as a reading frame that ends in a translation stop signal. The record is from RNAcentral. Lineage: Bacteria; Pseudomonadati; Pseudomonadota; Alphaproteobacteria; Rhodobacterales; Paracoccaceae.